RNAcentral lists this ribosomal RNA (255 nucleotides) under uncultured bacterium. RNAcentral's name for it is "partial 16S ribosomal RNA". It matches the Rfam family "Bacterial small subunit ribosomal RNA", at positions 524 to 777 of the family's 1533-position model. The record is from RNAcentral.
UACAGAGGGGGCAAGCGUUGUUCGGAAUUACUGGGCGUAAAGGGCGCGUAGGCGGCCUGUUAAGUCGAACGUGAAAUCCCCGGGCUCAACCCGGGAACUGCGUCCGAUACUGGCAGGCUUGAAUUCGGGAGAGGGAUGCGGAAUUCCAGGUGUAGCGGUGAAAUGCGUAGAUAUCUGGAGGAACACCGGUGGCGAAGGCGGCAUCCUGGACCGAGAUUGACGCUGAGGCGCGAAAGCCAGGGGGAGCAAAACGGG